AGUUGGGGCAGCGGAGAUGCAACCCGCGCGCGAGCGAGCCGAGCUCGGGCGACAAAGAGUGGCCGCACGAGGGAGCUCAUGCGACAAGGAAGCUCCAUGAAGAAGCAAUUGAGGGGCCGCAGUUGCCAUACUACCACAACUCCGGCGCCUACUGGAUCUACGGCUGCAUCCUCAAGCAGUUCCGGGAGGAGAUUCUCAAGGAUGUCCGUUCUAUUCUGCAGAGGUACUUACACUCGCCGGCGAGUAAGAAGGCCUGAGUCCAAAUGUUGCCCUACUGCAAGCUGCAGCGUCCCCUGUCCCCAUCCUUCUAUGAUGAACUGACCGAGGCAAACACAAUACCAAUAUGCCGCGAUUAAUAGAAGCGGUUUCUUUCCAAACGCUAAAAAGUUCUUGGAGGCCAGGAAACAUGUUUGAGCCUCCAGUUUCUGGCCAUUCGAUGUGUGCGAUCAAAGUUGUUCUGUCUCUAUAGGCAUAGAUUUCCAAUGCAUCGAUGGUGCAAAUGUGCAAUGGGGGUUGUGCUUUGUUCUGAGAUCUAGAAACUAUUUUGGGGCAAGGGAGGAUUAAAAAAGUGACGUACAUGUCCAUGGUAAUCUGAUGGAGGAAGUUAAUUGGUGCGCUGCAAAAGGAGGCAAGAAAAAGCGACUUGGACUUUGGGCCAAGAGGACGAUGCUAGUUUUGGUACGAGGGAGAGGCGCGCUAGCAACCUGGUCAGGUGUUUCUUUUUCAAACUGGGUUGGUUGGGGGCGCAUGACUUUCUGUUUCUGGACCGGGGUGCAGGACUUUUAUUUCUAGGCGGGGGCUGGUUUGGUAACCAACCCUCGAGUGCUUGCUAGCCAUGUCUAGGUUUCUUUGUUGGCUACUGAUUUAUUAAAGUUGCCUUGUUAACAUGCUUAAGUAGGCUACUACAUAUAACUAAGUUGCUUUUUGCAAUAUAAUAUAUCUAGCUUUCUUUUUAUCAACAUUUAUUUAGUUG
Lolium rigidum is the source of this 973-nucleotide long non-coding RNA. RefSeq lists it as uncharacterized. The record is from RefSeq and is a predicted model, not a curated record. NCBI's taxonomy places the organism in Eukaryota, Viridiplantae, Streptophyta, Magnoliopsida, Poales, Poaceae. The transcript is spliced from 5 exons.